AAAAGAGAAAACAAGCCAUAUUGCUAAGAAAAGGGUAGUAAGCUGCUUAGAAAGAACCAGCCUGUGUUGGAAAUAAUUCUCUUUUAGAUAAUUCACCUUAUUUUCUUGGCUUGUACUAAUUGAAUGGAAGUGGUUAAUUUGUUCAGAGUUUAUUGCCUUUUGAUGCCACCCCAAACUAUAGUCCUGUGUGACUUUCCAUAUUGAAAGAGUAGAGUCAGUAGCCAGGUUGUCAGUCUUUUACAAAUGUCUACAUAAAUGUCUACAUAAAUCUGAAAGUGGUUUAUAUUCAAGGUUAGUUUUUCAGUAGCAUCUCCUCCUUAUUCAUUCACUUUUACUGUGAAGACUGAAAUCCAAAAGCCAAGUUCCCCAAAAAAGUAUUUUUUAAAAAUUUUAGGGGACCAGAAUAAAUAGAGGAAGACCAAUAUAAAAAAAAAUGUUCAAUUAUUUUUUAAAUUUAAAUUUAAAUUUUAAAUUUAAAGCAGAAAAAAAAUUAUGCCCCUCAGACCUAAAGGCAGCUUUAAAUGUAUACAGUUCGGUGAAACAUUUGGGAAAUAUUAAUUUGGAGGUUUAGAAGCAUACUGAAAAACAAAUUCAAAGCACUUGAAAGUAAAGACAAUACCAUGAGGUCGAAAAACCUUCAAAAGGAUAUUAGGUAAGAGAAAAUGUGAAUGAAAGCAGUGAAUUUCUGCCUCUCCUCGUAUUUAGGGUACUUAAAAUUACUAAAAAAUACGGUCUUUUUACCAUACAGCUAGAUGGCCUGUAUUAUUCUUAAUGUGGCCAAAGGAGUGAAGACUGAUUAGGGUUUUAGAAUUUGGAACUGUAGUCACAUAAAGGCAUCUUUUGCAUUUCUUAAACCAGUAAUCUACAGUUUCUCCUGGAAAUGGAGAAAUAUGAAAUGUGCUGUGCAUAGCUUUUGGAAUAGAAAACAAAGUUUUAAAAGAAUGUUUUCUUGCACAACUUGUAAAAUUUUAAUUAAAAAAUUACCUCAUUUUUCAAUCCAUAAGGUGCUUUGCUCAAGUUUGUGGGAUGUUUGUACCAUCCCAUAAAAACCCCCUUCACCCAAACUGUAUUUGAAAUAUGCAGAAUUCAUAACUAAGGGAUAGCAUUCCUUGGAGAUUUUGUUUUGUUUUACCCUUGUUUACCAGCUGGGCCAACAUGGUAGAUAUAUCAGAUUCACAUAUGGUUUCAUUAAAGCACAUAGGAAAGUGCUCAGUCAAUAUUUAAUUAGUUUAAUUAGAUAAGGGAAAGGAGAAAUCCUAAAUUUGAUGGAUUCUAUUAUACUGUGAAUAUAUUUCCAUCAGUGUUGGUAAGAUAUCAAAUGACUAUCAGUUGAUCCCAGUCAUCAGUGACUUAUUUGCAUAUUUAAGCCCUAUUCACAAGAGACCAUAAUCAUUUUAAUCUUAUAUUUUCCCUCAGGAAAUUUAGGGACUCUGAAGCCCCUAUUUUAUUCUCUUGGAGUAAACUGUUGAGUGUAGUUACAAAAACUUUUAUUUAUGACUUAAAAAAAGUUUAGCUGCUAUUUCAUUGAAAGUGUAAAAUAAAAUGGUCAUGAUUUUUUCAAUACAAAUUUUACCAUGUUCAUCUAUUCCACAGAGCAUGUUAAAAACAACAACAACAACAACAAAAACCUAACAGCAAUUGCAACCUUGGUGUUGCGUUUAUUCUAAUCAGAGUGAAUGAUUAUAAUCACACUUUGCUAUUUUAACAUAAAUUGGUGCUUUAGAGCAUUAGAGAGGAAGCAGCAGGCCCUGUACUCAAUAUUUAUUAUUUCUUGCCUCAGAAUGCAAAACAACUUUAAAGUGUCUAUAUUCAUAUAUAUGUGCAUUUCUUAAGAUUUAAAUACAAACUGUUGUUACUCCUUAAGCUUCAGGCUUUCUGCGAAAGCUCUAAGAAUAUCUUAAUUACUAUGCUUGGUCAACUAGAGGAUGGUAUUAAUAAGGUCAGAAUUAGGAAUUGGAUCGCUCUGUGGGUCCUCUGGUGUUGUGCAGAGGAAAGAAAAAUGUCUUUCACACCACAAACUGUGUGUCUGAACCGCAGCCAAACAAAUGUGUUCCACUGGUCCAAUAUAUAAGCAUUAACAACAACAAAAAAUUUAAAACAAGUAAAUUAAUGCAUUCACAUGAUCACUUCUUGAAAAUGGUUCAAAGCCUGUUUUCCUGAUGGUGGGGUUGUUUAAAUGACAUGUUUUAAAGUUUUUAAUACUUUAUUACUGUUAUGAAGUGCUUCUUUUAUAUGUUAAGUUUAGGUUGCCAGUACUCAUAAUUUUUAUUUCUGCAAUUAUGUUAUAAUGAGUUGUUUGCAUGCCUACUUAACCCAAGUAAAAGGAUGCUGUUUGCUCUGGAAUGUUCAUCUUUUAGACAGGUUUUUGCUCAUUUCCAAUCAUGGUGCAAUAUAGUGUAACAUUCAUUUGUUUUCAUUCAACAGUUUUAUUUUUGUCAUAAUAAAUAAUUACUUUU
This is a long non-coding RNA of Pongo abelii (Sumatran orangutan), 2456 nucleotides long. The record is from Ensembl. NCBI's taxonomy places the organism in Eukaryota, Metazoa, Chordata, Mammalia, Primates, Hominidae.